The sequence is a ribosomal RNA, 811 nucleotides long. It matches the Rfam family "Bacterial small subunit ribosomal RNA", at positions 55 to 864 of the family's 1533-position model.
AUGCAAGUCGAGCGGUAACAGGGGUAGCUUGCUACCCGCUGACGAGCGGCGGACGGGUGAGUAAUGCAUAGGAAUCUGCCCGGUAGUGGGGGAUAACCUGGGGAAACCCAGGCUAAUACCGCAUACGUCCUACGGGAGAAAGGGGGCUCCGGCUCCCGCUAUUGGAUGAGCCUAUGUCGGAUUAGCUAGUUGGUAAGGUAAUGGCUCACCAAGGCGACAAUCCGUAGCUGGUCUGAGAGGAUGAUCAGCCACAUCGGGACUGAGACACGGCCCGAACUCCUACGGGAGGCAGCAGUGGGGAAUAUUGGACAAUGGGCGAAAGCCUGAUCCAGCCAUGCCGCGUGUGUGAAGAAGGCCCUCGGGUUGUAAAGCACUUUCAGCGAGGAAGAACGCCUAGUGGUUAAUACCCAUUAGGAAAGACAUCACUCGCAGAAGAAGCACCGGCUAACUCCGUGCCAGCAGCCGCGGUAAUCGGGAGGGUGCAAGCGUUAAUCGGAAUUACUGGGCGUAAAGCGCGCGUAGGUGGCUUGAUAAGCCGGUUGUGAAAGCCCCGGGCUCAACCUGGGAACGGCAUCCGGAACUGUCAAGCUAGAGUGCAGGAGAGGAAGGUAGAAUUCCCGGUGUAGCGGUGAAAUGCGUAGAGAUAGGAGGAAUACCAGUGGCGAAGGCGGCCUUCUGGACUGACACUGACACUGAGGUGCGAAAGCGUGGGUAGCAAACAGGAUUAGAUACCCUGGUAGUCCACGCCGUAAACGAUGUCGACCAGCCGUUGGGUGCCUAGCGCACUUUGUGGCGAAGUUAACGCGAUAAG